AGUAAACUAUUUUGGACGAAGGUGAAUUAAACUUGUAUUAUACCAUCGGUUGCAAACAUUUACACAAAAUUCUCAUGUCACUUAGAUUUUCUACAUCUUAAUAAAAGGCCACAUGAGUGAUGAUAUCAAUUGAAAAUGCUGCUACUAAAGAAUUGCAAUUUCAACUGAUACUAAGUAACGUGGAUGUAUGAAUCUUACUCUAUUAUUGUCUCAUUGAAUUGUGUUGCAGAGUACCGAAACUAAAGAACAUAGCGACACUGCACACGAGUACAAUUCACAAGAUGCAGCAGAAAAUAUGUUGAACAGUGAAUCAUCGGAUAUCGAUGAUAGUGACAAUGACAAAGACUAUAUUCCGGAAGAAGGCGAUGCAUCGUCAGAUGAGUCGAUAGUUGUCGAACUCAUACCAAACAUUCAAAGAUUUCAAAAAAAGACAGCGUCAACACUACCUCCUGUUGAAUCCUUGCAAUCUCGUGCACGUGACGAAUCAUCCGCAGAGGCACACAAAACCAACAUCACCAUCGCUCAAACAAAUAACAGUGAAUACAGACAUUACGAUAAGAGAUUUUAUUGCAUGUUUUGCGAAAAGGCUCAAAUAAAACUAAAAAAAACAUUUGCUUUUGCAGCAUAAAGAUGGGCAAGAUGUGAAAGAUCUAUUAAAUACGGAAAAUUCAGCAGAAAAUAAAAAAAUGUAUGAAAAAAUAAGGAACGUAGGGAACCAUCUCCAUAAUGUUAAAGUAUUGCGAGAUGGCCAAGGACAGCUGUUUGUGUCAUACAGACAAAGUCACAAUCAACGCGUAGCUGAGACGAGUAUGGACCUUGUCCUUACUGUUACGGGUAUUACCCGAAGAAAAUCCUGUGGAGGCACACUCAAAAAUGUAAGUUUACAAUGCGGCGUGAUCAAGAAAACGACUCGCUUUAGAGAGCAGCCUGCUAUUACCAAAAUCAAAAGAAGGAAGCACUAUUUUAAGACGAGUAAUCGAGUCCAUGAGAAACGACGAAAUAAGUCGCAAAGUCAAAAGUGAUAAUACAAUCCUUGCAUUCGGUGAAAAACUCUGUACAAAAAGGGGCCAUGAUGAAAAGCAACACAAUUAUAUUAGACAGAAGUUAAGAGAAGUUGGUAGAUUGCUGAAAGACAUGCGAUCUUGUCCAGGCAAUGUUGAAAAGUCUUUGGAGAAUUUCAUGUAUUCAGAUGCUUUCAAAUUUAUUACACAAUCUUGCAAAAACGUUGCAGGCUUCGACGGAAACACCAAUACUUAUGCUACACCAUCAUUAGCCUUAAAGAUUGGCACAACGCUUCAGAAAUGUCUAAAAAUUCUAAUUUCGAAAGGAAUCGAAACAAACAACCAGGAUCUGCAAACAAGGGCUGAGGAGCUUUCCAAACUAUUUGAAAUUAAUUGGACGGAGGACGUGUCUUCCAAUGCCCUAAGAACACUUCAUGAGGCUAAGCAGAACAGUCAGAAAGAACUGUUGCCAUUGGCAAAUGAUGUCAAAGUAAUGUCUGAAUACUUACGACAUGAAGCAGAAACACAUGCAAAUACCUUACAAGAAUCAGCAAGUGAUUGCGAGAAAAGGCAAGCAUGGCAUAAGUUGUCUGAAAUCUGCUUGUGUUUAAUCGAAACGAUCAGACGAUGUGUCAAAAAUGACAGUCGAAGAAUAUUCAAAAAACAAAUUGACAAAUGACGAUGGAGAAUUAGAUUGAUGUUUAACAAAACUGGAAAAAAACCUGUGCCGUUAUUUUUACCGUACAGAGAUUAUUGCAAAACGAGGUCGAAUAGCUGCAGUACUGUUUCCAAGACAGGUGAAAGAAAAUAUCGACCUGCUCAUACGCAGCAGAAAUUCUCUAACAAACUGUUUAAAUAGUAAAUAUCUUUUCCCAACAAAAUCUGCAUCAUCGCAUAUUCGUGGGACAGAUUUAUUACGUUCAAUAGCAAUUGACUGUGGAGCUGAACAUCCGAAAAGGCUUCGUUCUACAAAGUUAAGGAAACAUAUUGCCACAAUGACUAGGCUUUUUAACUUGUCUGAAAAUGAAAUAGACAUUCUAGCUAAAUUUCUUGGUCACGACAUUCGGGUACAUAGAGAAUUCUACAGAUAACCAGAUGGAACCAUGCAGGUUGCCAAAGUCAGCAAGCUGCUCAUGAUGAUGGAAAGUGGACAAAUUACCAGAAAUUCUGUCAAUUCGCUAGACGAUAUUGAUGUGGACGACGAAUGUAUUGUAGAUGAACAAUAUUCUUCUGAAUUAUCAGAAAAUAAAAAUACUGAAGACCUUGAAACUCUGCUUCCCAGCACCAGUCAACCAAAAAUAACAGACAAAGAAAAGGGUACUUCAAAUACCAGGAGAACAAAACAAGCAGCCAAAAAGCAACGGAGUGAAGACGAAAACAGGAGCUGUUCACAGACACUUAGAUCGUUUUUUGAUAAUUGGUAAAUUACCAGGGAAAAAAUCAUUACUUGCAUGUAUUGAAAGUGAGAAUGACCUUCACAACAGAAGUUGGAAAAAUGUCAAAGACUUUUGCAUAAAUUUAAUUGAAACAAAAAAGCGACGGGGACUUUUAACUUAAAAAAAUAUAACACAUAUAAUGCACGUUUAGGAGAAUACGUUAAAGGAUGAAGUUGCCACAUGUGUUUUGUGUGUUUUCUUGUUCUAUAUACUCUUUUCGAAAACGAUAUAUGUGUGCUUAUUGUAUUUGAAUGUUUUAUUAAUACGGUUCAGUCAAAAACGAUAUUUGUUCAUAAUCAUAUCGCCGAACAAAUAAGGAUUGGUAUAUAGUUCGGCCAAAGAGUGUUUCUUUGUACUUUCUAUUACGAGUUUCUACGAGUUACUCACUAUACAAGUUAUUUUUUACCCCAAACUUGGUGAAUAUGAAUGAAUAUAGCAAACAUGAUAACAAAUCAAUCUAGAAGGCUAAACGUUCAGAGAAGGCACAAAAAAAUUCAGUCGGAUAAAUGGAAACAAACAUUUUGUUCAAGCAUAACAAACAAACACUUUUAGAUAUAAUAAGAUAAAUGUAAAUAACAUAAAAAAAACUACUGCUAAACUACUGCUACAAUGUGAAGAAUACAAAUGAAUAUUUUGUCAAUUUUACAAAAUUUGUUUUGAAUGACAGGUGUCUGACUUGCAGUUGAGUACUUAAUAGUUAUUUUAAAGUAAAAAUUUACCAAUAUGUAAAUUAUUGCGUAAAUAUCGCACUAGAAUUGAUUAAAUAGUUGUUAAAUAUUACAAUAAUUUCCUACACAGACUUUUGUGCAUUUGUUUUGCGUGUAGAUAUUCACAUUAACUAUCAAUUCACAUAUUUGCUUUGUGUAUAUAAUUGGUAUGUUUAUUUUCAGAAUUGAGUCACACUGUUAUAAUUUCCCUGUUGGUACAUAUUAUUUUUAAGUUGGCACCAACAAGGGUCUAACAAUUGAUUCACAUGUGCACU
This is an RNA transcript of Dreissena polymorpha, 3419 nucleotides long. RefSeq lists it as uncharacterized. The record is from RefSeq and is a predicted model, not a curated record. Lineage: Eukaryota; Metazoa; Mollusca; Bivalvia; Myida; Dreissenidae. The transcript is spliced from 4 exons.